RNAcentral lists this microRNA precursor (81 nucleotides) under Cavia porcellus (domestic guinea pig). Lineage: Eukaryota; Metazoa; Chordata; Mammalia; Rodentia; Caviidae. The record is from RNAcentral.
GUGUGUGAUGCCCUUCUUCAGAGAGUUUUAGUCGUUUGUAAUUAAGUAUGACUGAAGCAUCUGAGGGAGAGUAAUGCAUGC